This 31-nucleotide non-coding RNA is filed under the name Rattus norvegicus (Norway rat). The record is from RNAcentral. Lineage: Eukaryota; Metazoa; Chordata; Mammalia; Rodentia; Muridae.
UUCCGAUUUGCUUCCGGGCUCAGAAUAAAGC